RNAcentral lists this long non-coding RNA (401 nucleotides) under Salmo salar (Atlantic salmon). RNAcentral's name for it is "lncRNA (ENSSSAG00000098097.1)". Lineage: Eukaryota; Metazoa; Chordata; Actinopteri; Salmoniformes; Salmonidae. The record is from RNAcentral.
AAAACACAGAAAUGGGGCUGGAAAUGACUACAUAAAUCCAAUACAUGAUGAUGAUGAUGAUUUAGCAAAUGCUCUCAUCCACUGUGACUUACAACAUCCAGUGCAUUCAACUAAGGUGCAUGCCGUGCUUGCUGAAAAACAAGAGUAGGUGUCGCGUUGACAUCGUCAAACCCUGUCUCAUUUGUGUGGGAUCAUCUGAGGCUCGUCAGGCAUUCACUCCACUGCAUGGUGACAGUGUUAGGGAACAUGAGAGAUUGAGUGAGGACAAGGGAAGAGUAAUCGAUCACCAACCAGGCCCAGACCACAGUGUGAAACCCUGUCAAUACAGGAUGCUCAAACGAGACACAGAGACGAGACACAGAGAGCCGAUCCCUUUUUACUGUCAAGCAGAUAGAUCAACC